Molecule: non-coding RNA, 1015 nt
Organism: Vicugna pacos (alpaca)
Lineage: Eukaryota; Metazoa; Chordata; Mammalia; Artiodactyla; Camelidae
Source: RefSeq, a predicted model, not a curated record
AAGUGCUUUCAUUUGGAAGUUUUUAUUAGAGAGCCAGUAGGAUUUGCUGAUGACGGACUGGAGAUGAGUUUGAGGAAAGAAAACCAAGGAUAAACCCCAGGUGUCGUGUCUGAGCAACGGGAGGAAGGAGACAUCACUCACUGAGUUGGGUUUCAGGGUCUUCUUAACCUUGGGCUAGAUUAAUUUUGAGCCCGAGACCAAACAAAAUAAGUUUCCAACUCAUUAUGCUUCAUCAAAGGCAACACCUAAGCAUGCAUAGACAUGAUUCACACUGUCUUUCCUCCCUCUGCCUGCAGGAAAGUGUCCUGAGACCCAAGGCAUAACUGGUAUCUCUCUCAGUGAUCAGAGCUGCAGUGACAAAGCAGUUUUGCAUACUUCUUAGGUUUUUUUUUUUUUUGGUAGGGAAGGGUUGGAAAUUGCUGCAGGUAAUUUUGGAGAUAUUCUGAACUGUUUGUAUUACAUUUUCUGAAGCAGAGAAUUUGGGUUGAGAGGGUGGCCUUAUGGUAAGUUAUUUUUUUACAGUCUCUGCCAAUGGCAUAAUCCUGGUAAAUCCUCAUUCUUAAGUCUCAUGGGAUAUCUCUACAACUUGGUUUUGCUCUCUUGGUAAGGUGGAGACUUUAUUGGGGUGAUAAAGUACCAUAUCCAAUGAACAAGGAAGCAGAAUUCCCAAACAAAGAAACUUUAAGUGGAUGAUUUUCUAAUGCUAGUUAAUCUCCCUUUAGGAAGAUGUGCAGAUAUUUGUGAUAAGGAGAAAGGUACCUUAUUUGGCAUACUUUGCUUAACACCAAGGAGUCACAUGAUAGAAAUAAGUGCUCAAGUCUACCAGAGAACAUAUACAGGCAUGUAUGUGGCAGCUAGCCCCAAGCUGGGCACAAUGCAAUCAUUUUAUACUACAACAAGUAAAUAAAUAGUAGAACAGUGCAUUACCAAUGACAAAGAAGUAACUAUGGCUCCAUGCAAUGAUGUAGCUGAAUCUCACAGACAUAGUGUUGAGGGAAAAAAAAAAAGCCAGAUG